This 1311-nucleotide ribosomal RNA is filed under the name Triticum aestivum (bread wheat). Its description in RNAcentral is "partial small subunit ribosomal RNA". The record is from RNAcentral. Lineage: Eukaryota; Viridiplantae; Streptophyta; Magnoliopsida; Poales; Poaceae.
AUGGGAAGCCAAGUAUAUUUCAUGGACGAACAUGCACCUGAGAUUCCAGUUGGUUAUAGCAGUUCCUCCACUUCACCAGCCAGCAGCGUCUGGGAGAGUCACCAGAUCCUACAGAUGCAUGCACCCUUCCCCUCAUGGAGCCCCCACACCGGCACACUCCUUACCGCCGCUGCCACUGACCCGGCAACCUUCUGCGAGGACCCCUUGUCACCAGCCCGCACACACCUUCCAAGCAGGCAUCUAUGGAACCAGACUGACCUUAGCAUGGGAGUUCAUGGGAGCAGCAACGAGCUUGGCGGGAGCAGUGGCCAUGGAAAGGACUUCCUUUCCUUGCUUGAAGCGAGGACGGUGAUGCCAGAAAUGCUCGAUGAUUUCUCCUCGGCGGCAUGCGACUACCUCAAAGGGAUGGACGGCAGCGACUACAACAGCAUCUCCGCAUCAGCUUCCUAUGGUUUUGACAGUGGCGGUCCGUACGCUGGCCCCAGUGCUCUGCCCGUCAGGCGUGAUGGGAUUGCGAGCUCUCCACCGGUGUACCCCGGGAACAGUACCUUGGUGCAAGAGAGCAUGAUGGGUUGCAUGCCAAGCCACAACCACGAGGUAAAACUAGAUGGUUCCCAGCAGCAGGAGCUUGGAGCUCCCAUGAAUGCAUUCCUGCAGAAAACGCUUCCUACUAGUGUUGCAAUUCAUGGAAGCCCUCUGGGUUAUUCUGGCUCUGGGAGCGAAAGGGCUUUCCCGGAGGGCCGAGUAAUGCAGGUUUCGUUUGAUGCUAGGAUUUCACCAGAUGCAAUCUAUGCUAGUGGUUACAGAUCAAAAACAGAAUUGGCACAUACCAAUCAGUAUGAGCAACGUACUAUUUCGGCAAGGACUGGUACAGGUCAAAGUGGUGCUGAAGGUGAUCCUAAGAAGAGAAAAUCAGAGGAAAAGUUGGCAGGCAACGGAAAGAGGUCGAAGAAAGAUACUUCAAGUAGAUCACCUCCAAAGGCAGAAGUGCCUGAUAUGAAGUUGGGAGAGAGAGACAAGAUCAUAGCAUUGCAGCAGAUCAUCUCACCGUAUGGGAAGACGGAUAGAGCGUCAGUGUUGUAUGAAACCAUCAAGCACAUCGAAUAUCUACAUGAGCAAAUACAGCUAUUGAGUGAUCCCUACAUGAAGAAUAGCACAAACGAGGUGCCCUUUCAAUGGGGAGGUAAAGAGGAGGAUUUGAGAGGGAGAGGGCUUUGCCUGGUCCCUGUUUCUUGCACCCCGCAAGUUUUCCAGGAUAAUAGCCUGCCGGACUGCUGGACGCCGGUGUACAAGAGCUCCCGGUACCAAUGA